AUUGAACGCUGGCGGCAGGCCUAACACAUGCAAGUCGAGCGGAUGAAGGGAGCUUGCUCCUGGAUUCAGCGGCGGACGGGUGAGUAAUGCCUAGGAAUCUGCCUGGUAGUGGGGGAUAACGUCCGGAAACGGGCGCUAAUACCGCAUACGUCCUGAGGGAGAAAGUGGGGGAUCUUCGGACCUCACGCUAUCGGAUGAGCCUAGGUCGGAUUAGCUAGUUGGUGGGGUAAAGGCCUACCAAGGCGACGAUCCGUAACUGGUCUGAGAGGAUGAUCAGUCACACUGGAGGUGAGACGCGGUCCCGGCACCUAGGGAAGGCAGCGAUGGGAAAUUUUGGCAAAAGGGGGAAAGCCUGAACCAUCCACGGCGGUUGUAUGAAGAAGGGCUGCGGGUGGUAAAACGCUUUAAGGUGGGGAAAAGGGCUGUAAGUUUAACCCUGCGUGUUUGACGGUAACCAAUAAAAAAGCCCCGGCUAAAUUCGUG
This 483-nucleotide ribosomal RNA is filed under the name uncultured bacterium. Its description in RNAcentral is "partial 16S ribosomal RNA". It matches the Rfam family "Bacterial small subunit ribosomal RNA", at positions 30 to 507 of the family's 1533-position model. The record is from RNAcentral.